UACGUAGGGUGCAAGCGUUGUCCGGAAUCAUUGGGCGUAAAGCGCGUGUAGGCGGUUCGAUAAGUCUGCUGUGAAAGUCCAGGGCUCAACCCUGGAAAGCCGGUGGAUACUGUCGGACUAGAGUGCGGAAGAGGCGAGUGGAAUUCCCGGUGUAGCGGUGAAAUGCGCAGAUAUCGGGAGGAACACCAAUGGCGAAGGCAGCUCGCUGGGACGGUACUGACGCUGAGACGCGAAAGCGUGGGGAGCAAACAGG
This 253-nucleotide ribosomal RNA is filed under the name uncultured bacterium. RNAcentral's name for it is "partial 16S ribosomal RNA". It matches the Rfam family "Bacterial small subunit ribosomal RNA", at positions 524 to 776 of the family's 1533-position model. The record is from RNAcentral.